RNAcentral lists this long non-coding RNA (227 nucleotides) under Gossypium barbadense (sea-island cotton). Its description in RNAcentral is "long non-coding RNA (GBAR_LNC004511)". Lineage: Eukaryota; Viridiplantae; Streptophyta; Magnoliopsida; Malvales; Malvaceae. The record is from RNAcentral.
CAGGAGACAUACGCCCGUGUGGCUCACAUGGUCAGGAGACGUACAUGUGCCUCAGGCUGUGUGGGAAUCCGAAAUAGGGGCACACAGCCGUGUCCAAACUUGGGUAUUAUCUGACUUGGGUUACAUGGCCAAGCCACACGCCCAUGUGCUAGGCCAUGUGAAAAUACCUAGGCAUUCUGUUUCUAAUUUUAAAGAUGUAGGGGACACACAGCCAGACCACAUGCCCA